Sus scrofa (pig) is the source of this 3468-nucleotide non-coding RNA. The record is from RefSeq and is a predicted model, not a curated record. NCBI's taxonomy places the organism in Eukaryota, Metazoa, Chordata, Mammalia, Artiodactyla, Suidae.
CGGCCCGGGGCGGGGCUGGCGGUGGGGAGGCUGGAGCGCAGGGCGGCGGCGCAGUGUGCAGAAUGGCGUACCCCGGGCAUCCUGGCGCCGGCGGCGGCGGCUACUACCCAGGCGGGUAUGGAGGGGCUCCCGGAGGACCUGCGUUUCCCGCACAAACUCAGGAUCCGCUCUAUGGUUAUUUUGCUGCUGUAGCUGGACAGGAUGGGCAGAUAGAUGCUGAUGAAUUGCAGAGAUGCCUGACCCAGUCAGGCAUUGCUGGAGGAUACAAACCUUUUAACCUGGAGACCUGCCGGCUUAUGGUUUCAAUGCUGGAUAGAGAUAUGUCCGGCACAAUGGGUUUCAAUGAAUUCAAAGAACUCUGGGCUGUGCUGAAUGGCUGGAGGCAGCACUUUAUCAGUUUUGACAGCGACAGGAGUGGGACAGUGGAUCCUCAAGAACUGCAGAAGGCCCUGACCACAAUGGGAUUUAGAUUGAGUCCCCAGGCCGUGAAUUCAAUUGCAAAACGAUACAGCACCAAUGGCAAGAUCACCUUUGAUGAUUACAUCGCCUGCUGUGUCAAGCUGCGUGCUCUUACAGGUGUGGCCUCUGAGGUUGCUGUUAAUUGUAGUAGCCAGCAGAAUCACUCUGUUCUCUCAGAACAUUUUUUCACAUUUCUAAGUAAUCUGCCAUUCAAAUCAUCCUUACUCAACUUUGCUAAAAUGGUCUAAAAUUUCACAAGCUAACUGGUCUGUUUUUGGUCAGAGUGUGAACAGUAUCCUGUGAUUUCUCCCUAGACCGUGAAACACUUGAGAAGAAUGAAAUUAUCCUUUGGUAGUUUCUCUUACCUAAUUCCUCUUGUUGAAAAGUAAUGUAAAAUAAUAGUCUCUGUCUCACAUGUGCUUCUUAAGCAAUAUCAAUAAUCUCUACUUUUCUCUCUCUUUUUCUUUCUUCUGCAUGUUUUUUUUUUUUUUUUUACUCCAUUCCUCUCUUUAGUUUUUUACCCUUUUUAAUAUCUGGUUUUAUCAUUUUUUUGCACAAAUGCAAAGACAGAUUUUUAAGUAAAUCCUUUUCAUUUAAUAGGACAGAGCUCAAAGAGGUGGAAUAUUUAAAAUGAUCACAGCUGUUUGUCCUACUAAAGACACCAUCCAUCUUCUAAUUAAACAAUAAGAAGUCUGAAAAUAUGUGCUUCCAUUAACAAUUAAGGAAUGGGGUGUUCCUGUGGUGGCUCACUGGGUUAAGGACCUGAUGUUGUUUCUCUGAGGUUGUGGGUUCAAUCCCUGACCUCGCUCAGUGGGUAAAGACUCUGGUGCUGUGGUGUAGGCCUCAACUGCAGCUCCGUCCAACUCAAACCCUAGCUAGGAACAUCCAUAUGCUACAGGUGCAGUCAUUAAAAAAAAAAAAAAUUAAGGAAUGGCCUGAGAAGUCACAUGGCUUUUACUGACUUUGGGAUAAGGUGUUUUCUUCCAGCUACAGGCUGAGAAAGACAGUUGGCCAACUUCUGCAUGUUGUAUUACUUGGUUGCAUAUUAAAUCUAUUCACAUUCGUAUAGUUGGCUUCUUUGCUUUAGUCUUUGUUUAUAUUGGCUGGUUGAACAGUUUAAACCCACUUUAGACUGCAUCUUGAACCCAGUACCAACAUAAUUAACAAUUAUGAUUUCAGAUAAGAUGUUUACACAACACUCAUAAAUUUGACUGUGGUGUUUUACAGACAGCUUUCGAAGACGGGAUACUGCUCAGCAAGGUGUUGUGAAUUUCCCAUAUGAUGAUUUCAUUCAGUGCGUCAUGAGUGUUUAAAUCCAGAGGAAGCUGAAUGAACAUAAUCAACAUUCCAACUGGAACUCCUCUUUGCUCUUCGCCUUCAGCAGUCGUGUGCAGACUUACACAGCCACUUUUCCUUAACAGUUGUAAUGGUUUAUUGCUUUAUGUACAUCUCAAAUUUUUAGUUUUGAUAAUAAAUUCUUUGGAAUGCUAUUAAGAUAAGAUCUGUCCUAUUUCACCCUUUAGAACUUCCUUGAGCCAUUGUUAAUCAUGCCUUAUUUUCUUGCUAAGCUUCUUUUAUGUAAAUUUAAGUGCGCAAAUUGUCUAAGGCACAGUAUGUAUUUUUUCAUUGUAAGAUACUAAAACCUUUUCAUCACACUACAGCUGUUGUCUUCCCUCUUUUACAAGGGCUUUUACGUGGUUUUGAAAGCUUUUUGUGCAGAAUAUUCUUAUCAUGUAAAUAGUUGGGGCCCUCAUGGAUGCAAAAAAGUGGUAAUCCAUAUCAGGAUUCACCUUAGUGGAAACUGAACACAGGCUUUAAGGCUGACAGCUGUUUUGAUGACUUAUGGAUGGACGUAUUUAAAAACCCCCUGAAUAAUUGGAGUGGCAGAUACUGUCACCGAGUUCCUCUUGGUCAUCAUCCAUGUAGACCUUUGUUAACUAUACUUAAAAACCUUGUACAGGUGAGUUCCAAUCGUGGCGCAGUGGUUAAUGAAUCCGACUAGGAACCAAGAGGUUGCGGGUUCGAUCCCUGGCCUUGCUCAGUGGGCUAAGGAUCCGGCAUUGCCAUGAGCUGUGGUGUAGGUCACAGAUGCGGCUUAGAUCCCGUGUUGCUGUGGCUCUGGUGUAGGCUGGUGGCUACAGCUCCAAUUAGACCCCUAGCCUGGGAACCUCCAUAUGCCGAGGGAGCAGCCCAAGAAAUGGCAAAAAGACAAAAAAAAAAAAAAAAAAAAAAAAAAACCUUGUACAUUAUAAGCUCACCUAUGUAAAAAAGAAAAAGACUAAAGGGAUAUAUGAAAAUAUUAACUAUGGUUAUUUUUGGCUAAUGGGAGUUGAGGUGACUUUAAUUCCCUUUAUACGUGUUAGUAUUUUCCAAGUUUCCUAUAAUGUGCGUGCUUUCCUUUUAAAAUCAGAAGAUGCUAAAUUUUGAAACAGUGAUACAUCCAUUUUGAUACACCAUUUGUUCACAGUUACAUUAAAAAAUAUACACAGUAAAAAGGCUGAAAUGAAUAUAUGAAAAUGUUGAUGUGCCUUCCACAGAAGUCAGCAUCCUAGGUUCAUUUUCUUUCUUCUGUCUCCGUUUCCAAAUAUUCUCUGAUAAGCAAGUGUUACAUUUAUAACAGAAGACAUUACAAAAGUUUUAAACUGUGUGCUUUUAAGUAAGAUCUGGAUUCUAAUGCUGGCCUUGCCUCUUCCUAAAUAAGUGGGUUUUGAUCCUUUCAGAUAAUCUCAGAUCCUCAGUUUCCCCGUCUGAAGAAAGGAGGUUAUACCUCUCGGGGUAGUUCUGAACAUGAAAAAGUGUGCUGGCAUAAUAAGCACCAAUAGUGUUUCUAUUCCUUAAAUUUAAAGCCGACCUGGGACCUGGUUUGUGCUUUUUAGCCAAAGAGAUUAACAGAUCAAACAAUGGAAUUCGCUUAUUGUUUCCCUGCCAGCAAAUCUCUCUUAUUUUAGGGCUCAGUGUGAGCGUUAUCAUUCCAGUGAUCAAUUCAUUGUCAAUGAAAGAAAAAAAAAA